Molecule: ribosomal RNA, 253 nt
Filed under: uncultured bacterium
Lineage: Bacteria
Description: partial 16S ribosomal RNA
Rfam family: Bacterial small subunit ribosomal RNA
Source: RNAcentral
UACGGAGGAUUCAAGCGUUAUCCGGAUUUAUUGGGUUUAAAGGGUGCGUAGGCGGUCGGAUAAGUUAGAGGUGAAAUCCCGGGGCUCAACUUCGGAAUUGCCUCUGAUACUGUUCGGCUAGAGAGUAGUUGCGGUAGGCGGAAUGUAUGGUGUAGCGGUGAAAUGCUUAGAGAUCACACAGAACACCGAUUGCGAAGGCAGCUUACCAAGCUACUUCUGACGUUGAGGCACGAAAGCGUGGGGAGCAAACAGG